UGCUUCUAAAUUAGUGCACUGAGAAUUCUGAGGCCUUUUUUUAACUAGAAACCCUGACAUUUAUGUCGGCUGUGGAGUGGUGGGUAGCUUUCAGCAUUUUUGACUGCAUGCAUCCAGGUUGAGGUAGUAGGUUGUAUAGUUUAGAAUUACACCAAGGGAGAUAACUGUACAACCUCCUAGCUUUCCUUGGGUCUUGCACAGAACGGCGUGAUGAGCGACCAUAAUUCCUCAGCAAUCUUUGCUCUGGACACAUGGAACAGGAAAGAGCAGGUAAGAUGAGCUGGAAAACCUUUUCUUUUCUUCUGCCUCUCUAGAACUUCAGAAAUGUUCAUUCUCUCAGCGUUGUUUUUUUUACCUAUGGGUGCUGUAUUACUGAGUUUUUAGCACAUUCAGUGGACUAGUAAUGCUUGUCUUCCUUUAUUAGCAUUCAAGCAGCGCAAUGUGUAACAUUCCUAAAAAGCACCAUGGCAACUUAUCAGUGUUAUUGCCUUCACGGUCAGCAAUCAGAAGUCUCCAAAGGUAACAUGAAAAGCGUCCUGUAUUGUAUCUGCUAUUGAGACGUGCAAGCAGGUUUCCCUUUCCACUAGUCUUUGACUGGUUCGGUUAGUUCUACACCAGGAGUUAAACAGGGCUGUACCCUGUAGCAGUACGAGACCUGGCACAAUCAUUGUCUCUCAGGAAGCGUAGGAGGCUGGUGCGGAUGCUUCCAGAUAAAGCCUGUAAGGGUUUCUCUGAAAGUACCUAAAUCCACACAGUCCUCGGGAGAGCUGUUCUUAGGGAAUAUCCAUUAGUGAUCACAGUCAGCUAAAUGAUUCGUAAGGGUUUUAUUUCUAGGCCCGUACAGUUCCAUUAGGUGUUUCAAAGGCUGUAGCUCUGGACACAUGCAAUAGGGGUGGUUUGCUUCUCCCUCACAGCAGUUUGCAUUCAGGACCCCUGGAACCACCCCAGAUUUUGAGGAGGAGCUGUAUGGAGAAUGGGUAGACAGUGAGCCACCAGUUCUGGGCACAAGACCACAUUUGUAUUACAUCUUACAAGUCUAAAACGCAGGGAAUAUACCUAGCUGCUAUUGAAAUCUACACUCUUAUUUACCACAGUAUUCGAUGCCUAAAAACCCAUUUGAAACUCUGGCAUUUAUCUAGUGAAGUCUGAACACAAGAUUUAAGGUCUUCAUGUUAGCAGUGUUCAAGGUUCAGGUCCCCUGGUUGCCUGCAUGAAGAUGGUGGCUGUAAUGCUUGAUCAGGGCCCAGAAUAUGUGCUGUGUUACGUCUUUCGACUAUAUAUAUAUAUAUGACUAAUUCUGGCAAGAGUUUUUGAGUUCCCAGAAAUAAGAAAGACUCUUUGCUAGUGGGUAAACUUUCUAAGUUAGUGAAUAAAAGUAAAGGGUAGGCACAGGAUUUCUUUCAUUAGGCUAAUCUAAAAGUGUGAAAAUGAUAACAAUAUUUCAAGGUAUCCAAGUAGCCCAGAGUAAUACUCUUCUAGUAAAAUGGCACUUUAAUAUCUGCAAAUCCUUGCUUACUGAAUGCAAAGAGAAGCUGUUGGUUUCUCAAGCAUUACCCAGUGCUCAGUUAUUAGUUAUUCCAAGAGUGAAUUAGUGGGACCUUAUUUCAUCUUGUUUUCAAAGAGGUUAUAGAUAUCAAUACCAUGGUUUAUAACUCUGCAGUUCCUUAGGACAAGGCAAGUAUCCGGGCUAACACAACGCAGCUUCUGUGUUCCACAGAGGCACAUGCACUAAACACAUGCAGGUGGUUAAAAAAGAGGAAUCUUUUUAGCACAUUUUAGGCAGUACCUUAUUUCCCCCCCAUAAAUCUUUUUGCAGAUGGAAGUGCAAAUUUUCAGCUGUAAAUCCACAAGCUGCAUUGAUUCACAUCCAAUUUAGAGCUGUUCCAUAAGGGCUGAUUUAUUAUUUUUAACCUGUUUGGUUAGGAAUAGCCUUAUAAAUGGGUGGUAGUAACUCCAAAUAAGAACAGUCUCUCUUCGGUUUUGAUGGUAACGACUCUGCUUCACACAGUUAUAAGGGAACUUCAUAAGGUCCGAAAAUAGCGGUUGUCUAUAUUAACACACACGUUUGUGGCUAUAGACUUUAAAUAUGUUAACUCAAAUGGUCUAUCUCGUUCCAAAGAACAAGGAAUAAUAAUUAAAAAGGAGAAUGGUCAGUGGUAAACAUAAUUCAGUGUGCAUAUUUUUCUUCUGAAUAAAAUAGCAUUCCAGCUCUCCCCCUGAUGAGAGGAAUGUAUUGUCAAUUAAUUAGACUUCCAUCAUAUGUCCUCGGAUGCCCUUCUAUCGUAUGCCUUCCAUAUGUCCUUAUGUCAUAUGCCUUCCAUAUGCCCCCUAUGUAAUUAAGCUUCUAUCAUAUGGCUUCUAUCAUAUGCCAUUUAAAUAGAUUUCCAGGAGAAUGUGGCAGUGUUACAAUUAUGGACCUUUCGCAAUGAGUAAAGGAACAACUCAUGAGCUGUAGAUUGAAAGAGGAGGAAGCAAAAGGGAGGUGGCUCACCCUAAACAGUUUCUUUAAUUGCCAGUUUUGUUUCUCUCAGCUUGGGCAAUGAACAGACAAAAGUGGUCUAUUUUCCUUGUUUUCCAUUACUCUUCCAUCCCCAGUUUUUAUUCAGCUAAGCCUGUGAAUAGCUGAGGAGAUAGCAACUGUUUUUCAGAGAACAUUUCCAUUGGAAUGUAAAAUGAAAAAGAAACCAUCCACCUCCCAGGAAAACUGUGUCCUAUGAUAAUGAAAUGUAAGCUUUCAUCUUGUUUUUAUUCCUUUAAGGGUGUAACAUAAAGUGAAGUACUAGAAAUCUCAUGGUGAGAGUAUUAACGAAACUGAGAUGGUACACUUAAGCGCACAUCCCUGUUCUCCCUUGUGGACAACGGGUGCAGAUAGUAUUGUGCUUUUUUUGGCAUGGUGAUUGCUUGAUAGACAGUGUCUUAAUGUACAAGGAUAUGUAGUGAAACAGAUCCCAAAUUUACUGUGACUUAGUAAGGAUAAAAACCAAAAAUAAGCACUGAUGCUUAUAUACGUAAUGAAGAAAACUGCAAGCAUCCGAGGAAUGAUGAGGUCUUGGAAUGGCUUCCAAUGAAAAGACAGCUAGCAUGCUCGUUUGCCUUAUGUACACUUGUGUAUCUGUGCCUUCUUUCUUCCCAACAACUUCUGAGACUGUUUUCUAAUCCCAGCCAUAUUUGAUAGAGGACUGGUGACUUCCAAGACUGUUCUGCUCCAGCAGGCUUUAUAGAAAUGAUAGCAAUCACAGCCAUAUAUCUAUCAGUCAGGGAAAAGGUUGAAAGGACAAAGAGAAGGUAAAAUAGUCAUAUGUGCUGAGGUGUCCAAACUAUAAAAUGGAGAGUGCUUUGCAGCAUAUGCCAGUUUACCUGGAUUAACUGGAUUGAAUGAAGUAAUGAGAACAGUUCAAACAGAUUCCCACUGGCUAGUAACCAGCGUGUCCCUGAAGACUUUGUACUCCAGUUGCUAGAGCAUGCUAAAACCCAUACCAUCAUGACUUCACUGCUAUUUAUAUGUGCUCUGCCUAGAUUAAGAUGGAAUUUACCAAACAAUGGGCCCUAUAUUUUGCUGUGUUAGCCACUAUUUGUAAUACAGACGCAUUCCUGAAAAAUAGGUGAAAGGUCUUAGUUUUGGCUUAAUCCUUUUUAGUUUCAGCUCACUUUUCAUUUAAAGCGUGCACACAUCCAAAAUAGGACCGGUCCAUCUGGAAGCUCUAGGAAGAGAACGAUUCAUGUUGUGGUGCUGUACCAUCAUUAGUUUCCUGGUGCCACAAUCAGAAACUGCAUACUAAGGGAAGCCUUAAAGCCUCUUGUAGCGUACCACUGUAAUUCUCUGUCAAGAAUAACUAGCAAAGUCUUGUAUUCAGGUUUGCUGGGCAGCAGGAAAAUACUUGCAACACUGCAAAUUAUCUUUCACUUCUGUGUUUUCACCUGGCUAUGAGGCAAGGGCUGUUCCUGGGACCUGCAUGCUGUUCCUUUGGAAAGGAGACUGGAACUCAGAGACUUUCACCAUUACAGGGAUUUAUUUUUUUUUUCCUUAAACAAUGGCUUUCAUCUAUUUCCACACCCAGUUGAAACUAUGCUGCAACACUUCUGCUGCUAAAUCAGAUGCAGCUGCAAUCUCAACAGUCAUUUGCUAAUGAUGAGGGUAAAAUGGAUCUCUCCUUUCCCUGGAUAGCAGAGGGGGGUUUAAAACCUCCACUUGGGAAGUUCAAGCUCAUCAAAAGGUCUUAUUGCAUUAGAAACCGAACUAAAUCUAAGUUUAGUGUGUGCUAGAGCCUGCAGUGCAACGUUAAUGAUGCAGCAGUAUGGACUGGCACCAGGAAUGGGGAGACUGGCUGCUGCGCUUGCGUCCCACUGCUAUUUCUGGCAUGCAGAGGCUGCGCGGUGUGGGAUGGGUCAAACGGUAGCAGAUGUGGAUAACAAAAGUAAUAUGGACAUAGCAGCUUGCUUCUGAGGACCUCCAAACACUCCAAGGACAUGUUAUGGUGCAUAUUGACUCCAUGGACUACCCAGACAAGUAAUGUGGUGGGGUAAGAUGCUAUGCUUUGUAAUUUACUUGUUAUGCACGUAAGGUUGAACUUACAGGCUCACUCUGAAUGUGCAGUCAGUGUCCUUAGUACAUGGAAGGAGAUUUUCCCUUGCUCAGAAGAGAUGGAGACUGAUUUAUACAAGGUAGAUUGAGGGAAUAUGAGGGGAAAAGGCACCUAAAAGUGAUUUGCCCAAGGAAGUGCAGCACAUAGUUUGCAAAGCAAUAAUUCAUGUGUCCUGGUUUACAGGGCUGCUGUACUUAAUCGUAUUACAUUCUUCCUCUGUGGAACUUUCCAGGCUGUGAAUAAGGUUACUGGCAUGCCAGGAGACCCUCUUGUGUACCCCCAGAUGUAAUCAUGAAAGAACAUGUUACUUCUGUAAGCUAUUUUUACUCUUGUCUCUUUUUGUCAUUCACUCAAUGCUCUGGCAACUGUAUUUGAUGUGCAGGGACAUUAUAAUCAGUUAAAGGAAAGGGUAUUUUUCAAGAUGCUAAAUGAGUCUCUGAUAUAUAUGGUACUCCAAGUGACUGUGGAAGGCUGAGACUACUGAGAUUGGGUUAAUUUAACAGCUCUUGCCGCAGUGUGGGCAAUGAAUCUCUAAUGUCCUAGACUGAAAUGUCUGACACUUAUAGAAUCAUUUAUUUGCUGGCCUUUGUAUCCGUGGUCGACUGUGUCGUCCUCACAGAGCUCCACCUGCAGCAGUGGGCUGAUGGUACACUGAAUAUAUAUUGUAUGUUCUUUAAGGGGUGGGAGGCAUAAAAGGGUGAGCAUAGGUUUUGCUGUGCAAUAUGUGCUUCUCAUGAUGCUAUCCUUUAAGUAAGGGGUAGCCUCCAGCAGCAACUGUUGAAGGAUGGCUUGGGCUUCUGAGGCACAAGGAGCGAUUUGCUCUGGCACAGUUUGCUUCUUGCUGCUGAUUCUCAUGGUCAGACAUCCAACACGCUGCCAGAAACUUGCUGCUGUUUGCUGCUGUAUGCCUUUGGAAGACAGGACAGAAGGGGUGCCCUUUGGUGUCCUUUAUGGCAAAGAGGAGGAUACGCUAAGUCAGCUCCUGGGAGAAGUCUCCAAACAGCUCCCUCUGGCUACUACUACAAGAAGCUGAACCGAUGGCUCCCCUUCCCUGGAAGCUGUGUCUGAUGAUCACAGGCCAUUAUAUGCUUCUCACUUGACUGCCCUGCUGGUAACUCCACUUUUAAGGUGAAUUAUGCAAGAAAUGCUGUGAAGCAUCAGACAUUCAGGAUCACGAAGAGUCCUCUUUCAGUGCAUGAACUCAUUUCUGGAUAAAGGCUGAGACUCACCCGGAUUCCAGCUUCUCCAGAAAGGACAAAAAAUGGAAAGGAUCAAAAAACAAUCGGUGGACUUUGGUUUCCCUGUGCAUGUGUGCUUGUAUCAUGUCUGAACUUGCAAAGAAUAUCCUUGGUUAUUCACAAGGAAUCCAGUAAAUGGUGAAUCUGUAAAUCA
Neopsephotus bourkii (Bourke's parrot) is the source of this 5975-nucleotide long non-coding RNA. RefSeq lists it as uncharacterized. NCBI's taxonomy places the organism in Eukaryota, Metazoa, Chordata, Aves, Psittaciformes, Psittacidae. The record is from RefSeq and is a predicted model, not a curated record. The transcript is spliced from 5 exons.